CCUACGGGUGGCAGCAGUGGGGAAUAUUGGACAAUGGGGGGAACCCUGAUCCAGCCAUGCCGCGUGUGUGAAGAAGGCCCUCGGGUUGUAAAGCACUUUCAGUGAGGAAGAACGCCUGAUGGUUAAUACCCAUCAGGAAAGACAUCACUCACAGAAGAAGCACCGGCUAACUCCGUGCCAGCAGCCGCGGUAAUACGGAGGGUGCGAGCGUUAAUCGGAAUUACUGGGCGUAAAGCGCGCGUAGGUGGCUUGAUAAGCCGGUUGUGAAAGCCCCGGGCUCAACCUGGGAACGGCAUCCGGAACUGUCAAGCUAGAGUGCAGGAGAGGAAGGUAGAAUUCCCGGUGUAGCGGUGAAAUGCGUAGAGAUCGGGAGGAAUACCAGUGGCGAAGGCGGCCUUCUGGACUGACACUGACACUGAGGUGCGAAAGCGUGGGUAGCAAACAGGAUUAGAUACCCUUGUAGUC
This 465-nucleotide ribosomal RNA is filed under the name Vreelandella stevensii. RNAcentral's name for it is "partial 16S ribosomal RNA". It matches the Rfam family "Bacterial small subunit ribosomal RNA", at positions 338 to 795 of the family's 1533-position model. Lineage: Bacteria; Pseudomonadati; Pseudomonadota; Gammaproteobacteria; Oceanospirillales; Halomonadaceae. The record is from RNAcentral.